Molecule: ribosomal RNA, 825 nt
Filed under: uncultured Bacteroidota bacterium
Lineage: Bacteria; Pseudomonadati; Bacteroidota
Description: bacterial SSU rRNA
Rfam family: Bacterial small subunit ribosomal RNA
Source: RNAcentral
CAUGCAAGUCGUGGGGAAACGGCAUUAUGUGCUUGCACAUUCUGGACGUCGACCGGCGCACGGGUGAGUAUCGCGUAUCCAACCUGCCCCUUACUUGGGGAUACCCCGUUGAAAGACGGCCUAAUACCCGAUGUGUUUCAUUGACGGCAUCCGAUAUGAAACAAAGGUUUUUCCGGUAAGGGAUGGGGAUGCGUCUGAUUAGCUAGUUGGCGGGGCAACGGCCCACCAAGGCGACGAUCAGUAGGGGUUCUGAGAGGAAGGUCCCCCACAUUGGAACUGAGACACGGUCCAAACUCCUACGGGAGGCAGCAGUGAGGAAUAUUGGUCAAUGGACGCAAGUCUGAACCAGCCAAGUAGCGUGCAGGAUGACGGCCCUAUGGGUUGUAAACUGCUUUUAUGUGGGAAUAAAGUGGCGCACGUGUGCGCCAUUGCAUGUACCUCAUGAAUAAGGACCGGCUAAUUCCGUGCCAGCAGCCGCGGUAAUACGGAAGGUCCGGGCGUUAUCCGGAUUUAUUGGGUUUAAAGGGAGUGUAGGCGGUCUGUUAAGCGUGUUGUGAAAUUUAGGUGCUCAACAUUUAACUUGCAGCGCGAACUGUCAGACUUGAGUACACGCAGCGCAGGCGGAAUUCAUGGUGUAGCGGUGAAAUGCUUAGAUAUCAUGAGGAACUCCGAUCGCGAAGGCAGCCUGCGGGAGUGUUACUGACGCUUAAGCUCGAAGGUGCGGGUAUCGAACAGGAUUAGAUACCCUGGUAGUCCGCACGGUAAACGAUGGAUGCCCGCCGUUGGCGCCCUGCGCCUGCGGCCAAGCGAAAGCAUUAAGCAUCC